GUGAAUCAUCGAAUCUUUGAACGCACCUUGCGCUCCUUGGUAUUCCGAGGAGCAUGCCUGUUUGAGUGUCAGUAAAUUCUCAAUCCCUCCAGUUUUUGUUGCUGGAUUGGGGCUUGGAUGUGGAGGUAUUGCAGGCCUUGUAUAUAGGUCAGCUCCUCUGAAAUACAUUAGCGGAACCGUUUGCGAUCCGUCACAGGUGUGAUAAUUAUCUACGCCAGUGGGUUGCUCUCUGUUAUGUUCAGCUGCCAACUGUCUGCAAGGACAACCAAUUACUGAAUAUUUGACCUCAAAUCAGGUAGGACUACCCGCUGAACUUAAGCAUAUCAAUAAGCGGAGGA
This 338-nucleotide unclassified non-coding RNA is filed under the name Agaricaceae sp. RNAcentral's name for it is "partial contains 5.8S ribosomal RNA, internal transcribed spacer 2, and large subunit ribosomal RNA". The stretch from base 1 to 71 matches the Rfam family "5.8S ribosomal RNA", at positions 84 to 154 of the family's 154-position model. Lineage: Eukaryota; Fungi; Basidiomycota; Agaricomycetes; Agaricales; Agaricaceae. The record is from RNAcentral.